Molecule: non-coding RNA, 1233 nt
Organism: Epinephelus fuscoguttatus (brown-marbled grouper)
Lineage: Eukaryota; Metazoa; Chordata; Actinopteri; Perciformes; Serranidae
Source: the annotation of a RefSeq genome assembly
AGAAUUCACUAAUAGAGGCCAUUUCUUGUUCAUGGUAGACAGAAGAAAAGUUAUGUAUUUAAUGCAUCUGUGUAGAUGUCAUCUGACUUCCACUGCAGCCAACAUCAGUAUAGAAGAGAGUUAGAUAGGCUUGAUUUUCCCUGAAUACAAGAUGUAUAUGACAUGUUUUAAUCAUUUCCUUUUGUGUAUUGUGAUGCCCAGAGAGGAUGGGGCGAAAUGUGCCCUGUUACCAUGUAAUGGGAUGGAAAAUAACAUCUGCUAACUUCAUUAUAACUUAAACAGUAGCUCUGCCUCUUCACAAAUACAAAACAAACAAUGUAAAUAACUUUUUGUAAUUUAGCCAAAAAGCUCUUCAUUGCACCAUUAGUUAAAGAUUGUCGUUGUCCCGUUAUCUUCCAUUGGAGCAGAAAUUAGUUGCCAGGAUAUUAAUAUUUUACAGUUUCCCGUGUCGUUCUUGUAGAGAUACUCUACUUAUGGAAAUGUAUCUGUGUCACAUGUUCCCUGUUUAAACCCACAGAGGGAGGUCUAUGCAAACUCUUCCUCUCUUAUAAACACACCAUCAGCAACUUGUGGCAGAUCACUGGGACAGUUUGAUAUAUUUCUGAAACACUCAGAUCAGAAAGCACUGAACUACAGUGUUUAUCACAGAAUGGAAAAUACAGUUAUCUGGAGUUUAUUAUUUGUAGUUACUAUUCAUGGAGUUUGGAGUGAGAUCAAACUGGACCAGUCUUCCUCUGAGGUGAAAAGACCUGGAGAGACAGUGAAGAUGUCAUGUAUCACAUCUGGUUAUACCAUGACAAGCAAUGAUAUUCACUGGAUACGACAGAGGCCAGGGAAUGCUCUGGAGUGGAUUGGGUGGAUGAUCACAGGUUCAAACUCUGCUAGCUAUGGCAGCUCCUUUCAAAGUCGUUUCAUCAUGACUGAAGAUGUGCCCAGCAGCACUCAGUACCUCGAGGUCAAGAGCCUGACAGCAGAAGAUUCUGCUGUUUACUUCUGUGCUCGACAAAGCACAGUGACUGAAGACAGUGGAACAGCUGCACAAAAACCUCCACAGACAACAAACAGCAAUGUGAUCUUAAUGACAUCAGAGUUUUCUCACCACCUGCAAAAGCACUUUGAUAUAUCCACAUUAGAUUUCUGUAUAUUUUAACAUUUGAUAACAGAGUGAACUUGGCUAGUUCAGGAGAUAAUUAGAAAAGUGAAAUGUCCACAGUCCCAUACAUAUUCAAACAC